Molecule: long non-coding RNA, 34632 nt
Filed under: Citrus x clementina
Lineage: Eukaryota; Viridiplantae; Streptophyta; Magnoliopsida; Sapindales; Rutaceae
Description: Citrus clementina (C. clementina) long non-coding RNA (CCLE_LNC004331)
Source: RNAcentral
AGAGAAUCAAAUGUUGUGGUGGGAUUCUCAGGUGUUAAUUCAAUAGUUAAUGUGGCUUUGGGUUCCACAGGUGCCAUCAACUUGUCUGCAUUUUCAGUCAUUCGGUCUGCAAAAUCCACAAGUCCUUCUUCCACAGCAGGUACACUAGAAUCUUCGAUAUAUUUCAGCUCCCCACUUCCCAUAGGGUUCAUCUCAUUUGCCGCUUCAACAGAAUAACUCCACGCAUUAGAUGGUUUGCAACUAAUGUCGUCUAAUUCAUUUGGACAGGAAUUAAUGAAAUCUAUGGAGACUGAUUUACUGUUUUCAACAAAACUAGAGUACAAGGACUUUGUAGCUUGUGUUUUAAAGCAAACUCUCUGGAGAUGAGUUCCAUUUUUCAAGCCCAAAUCAAUACCAUCUUCCACAUUACACUUCAAUUCAAAGUCCUUCCUGAAUGGGGAAAAGGAUUGCAAACCUCCAUGGAAUGAUGUCUGCUAAUUGAAAAAUGCAAAUGCAAUCAAUGUUUAAACGCAAGAUUCCCAAGGCAACAAAAAAGUAAGAGAUUUCAGGGCAUGUAUUGCAAGAUUCCCAUCAUUUUUUGUACAUUUCGAUUCAAAGUCCUUACUGAGUGAAAAUGUCAUCUUUGUAAUGUAGGGUAGUUCGAGUGCACAAUAUCAAUCAUGCAACAAUGACCUACAACAUCUAUGUGGAUUGAUUUUUGCAAAAUAAAGAACAAUGCUGACUGAGGAAUAAGGUGCAUACCAGAUUAGCAAUAUCUCAGCAAGUAACCAACAAUUUUUUAUCUGAUAAGAAAAAAUUACAAUUUCUUGAAUAUACAUGAAACAUUUUGCAGAAAGAACCAUGUCAUAAUUAUGAGUCCAACUGAAGAAUUAUCAAUACUUAUCACAUGAAACGAAAGAUACCCGAGUUCACUUAAUGAAAUUCUCUUUUUUUUCUCUAACAUUGAGAUAAGCAAAAACUUUUAACUAAAGACAAUCAUCUAGUGAUCUCAAACAAAUUAGGUUAGUAUGAAACCAUCAUAAUUUGUUCGCUCAUUGCCUAAUUUUAUUAAUGCAAGAGCCUGGAAGCAACUCAAAAAGAAAAUAACCAACAUAGGAAGUGUCAUCUCAUAUCUCACCAAUGAAUGGGAACAGCUUGAUGUGGCUGAGCAAACUGGCAGAAUUGUCAUUUUAACACACGUUCAAGAAACUCAGCAAAUUCUCAUAUCUGUUUAAAUUCCACAGCAAAGAUAGUUACAAGAAAUCUAAUCAAAAUUUAAAAUGUCAGAAGGCAAAUCUUCCAAUUAGGAUCAAAAGAAGAUAAUUAUAAUUUGUCAUUUCAAUUCUGAUUGUACAAUUUUAUUUUUUUAUGUGUGCAUUUAUUAAGAUUCUACCUUCUCUUCCAAAUUGUGAUGGACUUGGUAAAUAAUGAAUUGUACCGACUUGAAUUUUAUACAACUUAUUGAGAUAAUAAUACGCAAAAUUCAACACCGUCCAUCCCAAAUCACAACAAGAAACACAAACUUUUAUCCCCUCAAGUGGGUUCUUGAAACUCAAGCUUUAGUGCCAGUACAAUUUUGAAAGAUUGUGAUCAAACUAAAACAUCAAAUAAAAUAAGACGUAACAAAAACACGUCUUCAGAAAAUUAGUAUAGGAAUAAAGAUAAGCUACACAGACCUACUUCAAGGAAUUAGAAAAAUUAUGAUAAACUUGAUGCAUUUCGAAAAACAACAAACAAAUAUUCCCAGGAAAACAAAAAAAAGACAACUUUGUUUAAGCUUAGACAAAAAUAACUAAGGACAUAUGAAUGCAUCAUAAUAGUAUCUAUUCCCCAAUUGAGUUCACCAACAUAAAAUCAGCAUAUAGUCUUAGCAAAAUUUGUGUGAAAAUGGGCUAAAGUAAACCCAAAAACCAUUUGAAAUUCAAUCUCUGAUGCAAGAAACAUCCAAAACUUAAGAUAAAUAAACUAAAUUACACAACCCCAUUUGAUUUCAUGACAAAGAGAUCAAAUCUUGAACUGUGUAUCUUGAAAUUCAGCCGUUAGUAACUGCAAAAUUAUCAAAAAAAUGAGCUAAACAUAUAUAGCAUUUCAGAGGAGUGCUUACUUGACAAAUCACUAAUACAAAGCUGCGAAUGGGCAUUCGGAAUGUUUUGAGAGCCUCGUGUAGAUAAAAUAUGAAGUUAUUUAAGUAAUGACAAAAGGAGAAUCGUGUGGCUUGUCAAAGCCGUUAGCUCCAUCUCAUUUGCCUCGUCCUCUCGUUUUGUUUCUGUGGGGACAUAUUUGAUAUUUCGGAUUUUGUCUAAAAUUUGUCAUGUUUUUGGAUACUAACAUCUACGCCUCUAGUAUUUAAUAAAAUUGUUAUUAAGGAUAAGCUUUUCAUUUUUUUCAUCUUUGAUCUUUUUGAAGUCGUAUUUUUUUAUAAAUUUUAUUAAUAAACCAAUAAUUUGACAUUAAACCAAUUAUUUCUGAACCCACUAAAUUCUUCCCUGCACCUAUUAAAAAAAAAUCAUUCAUAAUAUUUAAAAUUUCAAAAUUUUAAAAAUUACCCUUCAUAAAUCUCUUUUUCUUUCUAUCUUACAAUUGAAUAUUCUUUCUCUACUCUAACAUUUUGUAAACUAAGCGUUUAAUUUCACUAUUUUUGAAUUUAUUUUUGUCUUUUCUUAGCAUAUUAUGAUCUCUAUUUCAUGUUUUCUAUAUAUAAGAAUUUUUUUUUAUAUCCAUAAAAUUUUGUGUUUGGUGAAAAUUAAUGGGAAAUUUACACCAAUAACCACAAAAAUUUUGACUUUUUCCAUCUUAACCCCCCAAACAAACUUCUAUCAACAUUAGCCAUAAAAAAUAAUUUGAGACCAAAAUACCCCUCUCUCUCAUCUCUCCCCUAACAAUCUCUCUUUCACCCAUCUGUCCCAAACCGAAGAACCUCCCAUCAUCGGCGGCGUUGGCGGCAACAUCAGCACUCAUCGGCGGCGGCUAAUACCCCUCUCUCUCAUUAACGCAUAAGCAAUUGCAGCAAUUGGUACCAAAAAAUUCAAUGACAUUGAUACCCAGAUGAUAUAACAAUCUGAAAGGAAAGAAAUCAGUCAAACUCCAGGAACAGAAAUUCACGUGUUUACUUGCAUAACUCAGUUUUUUGCUGUGCCUCCACAAAUACAUUGGAAAAGGAAUAGCUUGUAUAUAUUCUGUACCAAGAUACAAAGAAACAGCAUUGGAGGCAAUUUGGGGAACCAAUAACGGCUGUAAAAUCGUGACCUAUGCCUAUUUACAGCGGAUGAAUGGCAAAACAAAUGGGGACGAGGGUGGGAGCUGAAAUGGAUAGGUUACCAUGCACAUGCUCUGGUAAGCCACAGAAGCAACAAAAAUGAAGUCACAAAUGCAUGCAGGUGUGUCAUUUAAUUCGUCAGAGGGUGUCAAAUCCUGGCAUUGCAAACUGGGAAGCAAAUGCCUCAACCCGAUUUCGGAGGUCAACAAUCUCUUUAUUGUUCUGGAGACCUUCGUGGAACCCUUUCUGCAGUUUGCUAAGUUUUACAGCCCUGAUUUUGGAAGGAGUGGGGAAGAAUAUGGGCAUAAGAAUGCCUCAGAUGUAAUGCUUUGCAGUAAUGGACGACAUUGCCCCAAGCUCAAGUGCCGGGUGAGCAUCUUUAUCUAAAAUUUUUGUGAGAUGCAUAUAAUAUAAAAUGUGGCAACAGGCUUGGUGCGACAGGCAGCUUGUUGCUAGAUUCACCCACGACUCGCAGUGACUGAAACUCUCGAGUAAGUUCAGAAAAUAACUCAUAUCACUAUGUAAUACCGGUUAGUGUUGGAUCCGGAUAGAUUAUUAUCAAAUUUCACUUUUAUCGUUGUCUUUUGCAGUCGCCGUUUGUUGAUGAUCAAGAGUGGAAAGCUGCCUUUGGUUUGUCGAAAGGGGAGAAAGAAAAUUACUUUUGGUUUGUAAAGAAGGGUAAUUUGGGGAGAAAAGCGUAUGUUUGGCUAAUGUUGAUAGAAAAAAGUUGAGAGGAUUAAUUGUAAAAAUAGCAAAAGUUUUAUGGUUAUUUUUGUAAAUUUCCCAAAAUUAAUUUCUUGAUAUUUGUUAAUUUUUAUAACUGAUAAAAAUAUAUCAAUGUUCAUUUUUAAAUGAUGGGUUUUGUUCAUUUUAGUUAGUUAUAUUAAUUUUUUGUAGGUAAAAAAAUAUAUUUGAAUGAAUUGAAGGAAAAUUGUGAAAUUGAGAAGAGACAGAGAAGAAAAAGUUAAUUAAAUAUUUUUUCAAAAAUUAUUCAAAUAAUAAAAUUCUUAAUUAAAAACAAAGAUGGAGAGAGAAAUUUAGUGGGUUCAAAAUACUUAUUUUAAUUCCAGAAAAGAACCAAUAAAAGAAAUCAAAAGAUGAUUCUUUUAUUUCUCGACAUAUUUCUUUGUACUUUUCUCUCUCUACUGAUUCACAAUUUUUCAUACUUCUAACUAUCAUUUUAUUCAAUUAUUUUGUAUUUUUAAUGACAAUUAUUUAACUUUUAGUUAGUUUUGAUAUUGAUUAGAGAUUGAAAGUGUAUUUUAGAAGACUUCCGGUCUCUUGAAAAAAGGAAAAAUGGAGAAGAAGAAGAAGUGUUCAUGAUUUUUUGUAGGCGUUAAAGUUAAAUGGUUUGAAAUGAUAUUUUGUUUUAAUUUCACUCAUUAAUCUCAUUCAGGAUAAAAUUAUAAAUGCAAAUAAAUGGGGUUUCAUAAGUAUUUUUAAUAGUGUUAAAAGGUCUACUCACUAAAUAAACAUGUUUUACCCAAACCAAUGCGAUUAGUAAGUUAUUGGGUUGCGUUGAUCAGGUUAAAAAUCAAAAUUAAAAAUUAAAUAAAUAAAAAAGGCAUAAAAACUAUAUGUUACUUGAAAAUAAAAAGAAUUUCUAAUAGUUAGUUCUAAUGUCCCAUAUCCAAAACAUGCAUAUUAAAUAAAUAUUAUAAGUUAGAAAUACAAUAUCCAAGAAAGAAUGAAUGAAAUACCAUAUUUUUGUUGAGAAUUAAGAGUGUGAUUUUAAUUUUGAUAUUGGAGUCUAAAGUGCUACGUUUAAAUAAUCUCUUUUAUAAAAUAAUAAAAAGAGGUUAAAAAUUAGGUUAGCCAUUUAGGCAUUUAGGGUUUAACAAUUAAGGAUGAACAUAUUAUUGUUGUUGUUGUUGUUGUUGUUGUUGUUAUUAUUAUUUAUAUGUUUACUAAUCCAAUCCAAUCCAAUUAUUAACGAAUUUGAAAAAAUUGAUCCAAUCAAGCCGUAAUAAUUCAUUCAACUCGUCUAAAUUGGAUUAGGUUGAAUUUGGUUUGCCACCCUUAUUUUGAGCAACAAACCUCAAUGUGAUUCCAUGAGCUCUUUGAUUGUUUAUAAAAUUGAUUUCGAGUACAUAAUGGAGAGUAUCGACAAUGAAAGUGCAAAACAAAUUAUUGUAUACAUUAAAAUGUGCAAAACAAUGAAUUAUAUGUACGAACGAGUGCAAACACAUUUUUCAAUAAGAAGUUAAAAGAUAUUUAUGCAUGAAAAAGCCUACGUUUGUAGUUAUUCUAAAUUUUAAAAACAAAAUUUACAUUUAGAUCCCUAAAAUUUACGUAUAAGUACAAAAGUUUCAAAUAUUGUCUAUUAUUUUUUUAACAUGCCUAUUCCUUGUGGAUAAUUCUAUCUCAUCACUAAUGUUGUUUCUUGCUUACAAUUUGUAUAGGGAUGGCAAAAAUUCUCACGGGGACGGGUACCCUCGGAGAUUUUCCUCAUUUGGGGAGGGUAUGCGGAUAAUUUCAUACCCAAUUUCUUAUUCGGGGAAGGGACGGGGAAAUUUUUUUACCCAAUUUCGUAUUCGGGGAGGGGACGGGGAUGAGGUGGAAUCCCCAUCCUCUACCCAUUUCCCCAUUUUACUUUUUAAUUUAAUUUUUAUUUUUUAAAAUUACUAGUAAAUAAAUAAUAAAUUUUGAAUUAUAAAAUUAUAAGUAUUGGUAAAAAUAAAAAAUAUCAAAAUAUUUAUAUUAUUAAACUUUUAGGCCUAAUUAACUAAUUAAAGUUCUAAAUUUUUAUUUAGGACAUUAAAAAUAUUGAACAGAUUCUAUUAGCCCAAAACUUUUGUUUUAAUUUUAAUAUUCAUUAAAUAUUUUAAACUUAAAUCUAUUUUUUAUUUAUCUUAAAUCUAUUUUUUAUUUAUUUUUAGAUGUUAUAAUUGCCCACAGCAAAUCACAAUUUUAAUAUCUAAUCUAAUCUAAUAUUUGAUAUUGAUUUGCUUCGACUUAACUAUUGUGUUGUAAAGGGAAUAGUCUACAUUUAUAAAGUGCCCACGCCACCAUUGAAAAGCUAAUUUUGAAUCUAAAUUUGAUUUUAUUUGUAACAAUUUUGUAGUAGGCUAUUAAUUUGUUCAUGAUAGUUUGUAUCCCUUACAUGCUGCGUUACUUACUAAUUUAAUGUAUGUGACUUUUGUAAUGGAUAUUAAUGUAAGAUAUAUUUCGAACUUUACUUUUAUUUGAAUUUUUUAUUUUAAUAUGAUUAACUUAAAAUCAAAAACAAAAAAAUGUAUUAGUUAUUCGGGGAUCGGAGACCCUCGGGGAUCCACUGUUAUUAUUCGGGGAGGGGAUGAAGAUUCUCUUAAAUAAAUUUGACGGGGAUGGGGAGGGGACGGGGAUAUACGCAAAAUAUCGAGGAUGGGUACGGGGAGAUUGGUCCCCUCUUCUCCCCUCUCCAUUGCCAUCCCUAAAUUUGUAUAGCGUCUCAAAAUAGACAAUAGGGGGAUUUUGAAUUUUUUAAGUCUCAAUAUAGUCUCUAAUCUUGUGAGAAAGAUUUUCUUUCAAUAAUUUGGAGGUAAACAUAACAUAACUUUUUGGACUAAAGCCUAACUCUGCUGGUUAUGGUGGUAUCCUUUUCAAGAACUGAGUAUUUAGAUUCGAGUUUUAUAGAGUGUGCAUGCGUUUUUAAUUAAUAUUUUUUUAAAACAAUACAUCAAAUAUUAAUAUCCAUGACAUAAUUUAGUUCUUAAUUUUUUUUAAAUACAUCAAAAACAUAAUUUUUUUAACAACUUAUAGGCAUGACAAAUUUCAAGAUAUAAAUAUCAGUCAAAAUAAGUGAAAGAAAUAAUGGUGCCAAUUCUAAUUUCUUAAUUAAAUUAAUUAGUGCAUGAGCCCUGAAUACGACACGAGAGUUUGAUGGGCUAACAUGGCACAAGAACCUGAAUAAAUAAUUGAUUUAAGAAAUAAUUCAACGAAAAAUAUAAUUGAUAAGAAUUCAGUAUUGAAAUGAGUUUUUUAUGAAACACUGAAUUAAUGAUUAUUAAGCAAGAACAAUAAAAAAUAAAUAUUAAUCAUUGAUAAGUUUCAACAAAAGCUUAACACAAUCCUCAAUCCUAAUUCAAAUUAUAAAUGUCAUUCAUAUAUUCAUUAUAAUCAACAACAAAGGUUAUAAAUGUUUAGAAAUUCUAGAGGGAAGGAAGCUAUCGCUGGGCAAUCAACAACUAAAUUUGAUGUAAUUGUGGCACGAGAUGGAAUAUGGAAACUACACCAUAAUUUCAAAUGCCGCCACAGACAUUGACUUAUCUACAAUAACAAUGAUCUAAUUAAAAUAAAAAUAAAGUUUAUGGGCAUUUAUUAAAAUAAAAAUAGGAGUGAAGUAAAAACAUUUAGAUUUUAAUGUAUGUACGGAAAAAAUUAUCUUUAAAAAUACUUUCUUAAUGUGUGUGUGCAUAUUGAAAUACUCAAACCAAUUUUGGUUAUAUAUAAUUAAACAAAAUUUAAAAUAUGAAAAAUAUAAUGUAGUUAUAGUGGAUAAGCAAUAAGUGAGCACAAUAUAAUUAAUCAAAUAUUAUGCUAUCAAAAGUUAAUUUUAGAAAUUCCAAAUCCAAUAGCUAACACAAUUCUUUAAAGAAAUAAUAUGGGGCAUUGGGCAAGAGUAAUGAAUGCUUAGUGGGUGCAUUUGAUUGAUAGAUAUAUAAAGGGCCGAAACUUGAUAUUAUAUUACUUUUUACAAAUUUUAAUCCAAUCACAUAUUUAAUGAAAACAAAAUGAGUUAGGAUUGUUUAUUUAGAACCCACAUUUUAAUAAGGCUUCAUUUGAUGUAGUUUUUCAAACAUUGAUUAUUUGAGUAAUUACAAAUUUUAAUCCAAUCACAUAUUUAAUGAAAACAAAAUGAGUUAGGAUUGUUUAUUUAGAACCCACAUUUUAAUAAGGCUUCAUUUGAUGUAGUUUUUCAAACAUUGAUUAUUCGAGUAAAGUUUCCUCAAUAGAGUUUUUAUCAAACAAAUUUUAUUUAUUUGGUUGUCAAUAAGAGUUUUUAUUAAAAAUUAUAAAUUUAUUUAAAUAAACAUAUUUUUUAAAAUUACAUUAUAAAAAGAAUUAAAUAAAGUUAUAAAAGUAAAAUAUAUUUUAGAUAUUUUAAUAUUUAAGAAAAAAAUUUUGAAUCUCUACUUUCAGAAACUCAAAUUUUUAGCUUUUAAUUGUAGAGACAAAAUAUCUUAUUUAAUCUUUAAAAGUUAUGCUAAAAACAAUCAAAUAACUACCAAAAUUUUAAUAAGAACACAUAAAAUUAAACAAGCAUUUAUUAAUAAUCACUUUAGUGUACUUAUCUAAUGACCAUAAAUGUUUAUUUAAUCUCAUAAGUUCUUAUUUAAUCUCAUGAGCUCUUUUCAAUUUUUUUGUUGUUUUUUUUAGUAGAGCUUUUCAAAAUUAAAUAAACUAUUUUGCUCAUACUAGGAAAAACUAAAAUUUUAGGUUUUUGCGAAUAAUUGUUUAAAAUUUUUAAAAAAUAUUAAAAUGUCUAAAAUAUCUUUUUUUAUUUCAUAAUCUUAUUUCAUUUCUUCAUAACAUAACUUUAAAUAACUUAUCUAUUAAAAUAAUUUCACAAUUUCUAAUAAAAACUCUAAUUGACAAUUAAGUAACAACUUUUUUUUUUUGUAAAAAAUCUAUUAAUAAAAAAUCUAUUUAAAUAUAUUAUAUUUGAAAAGGUAUGCUAAAGGAACCUAAGAUAAAAACAAAAAUUUUUACAUCCAGACAAUUAGGGGUUUUUAAUUAAAUACCCUUUAAUAAUUUCAAAAUUAUUUAAAUACCCCCUCCCUUUUUGGUUUUCAUGGAUACCCUAACAAAUGUGAGCAAAGUCGGAAAUACCCUUAAUGAAUGCAUCAAAUUCACUCAAUGAAUUGUCUUCAUAUUUCUUUCCUCAUUUCUUUCACCCAAAUCUAUUUUUGCUGCCGAUUCUUUCAAAAUCUCUUAGAAUCUCUCAAAAUCUCUCAUAACUUCUUACACAAAUACAAUUAUGUAUUCAUUUAUUUAACACCCACUAUUUUUUUAAAGGUGCAUUGCUUAUUAAACAACCCAAUAAGGUAUGUUAAUGUUGUUGGGUUUUAAAUUUUUUAAUUUUUAGGAAAAUUUAGAAAUUUUCCUCACAUUACAAUGUUUUAUUUUCACCAUUUUUUCUUAUACGUAGAAAUAUAUGCAAUGUAGGUUGUUUAAUUAUUUUUUCAGCAAUAUAACUUAUUUAUGGCGAAAAUGUUUCGAGUCGUGCAUUCUUUUGAUACCGUGUACGUCAUAUAGUUAGUCAUGUAGGUCGUGUAAGUAAUAUAGUCGUGUAAGUCGUGUAUGUAGGUCAUGUAAGAAAUAUAGUCAUGUAGGUCAUGUAAGAAAUAUAGUCGUGUAAGUCGUGUAAGUCGUGUAAGUAAUAUAGUCGUGUAGGUCAUGUAGGUCGUGUAGUUACUUGUAUAUGAAAUUUAAUAUUAUUGUUUUUAUUGUAUCAUCAGAUAUGGUUUUGGUACGUGUGCCUAUUCUCUUCAAUGGUGAAUGGAUUGAGCAAAAUGACGAGUAUAAGUUCAAAGGUUCAAAGGCUAAAAGGAUAAUGAUACCACGAUCGACAACAUAUGUCGAAUUGGUGGAGAAGAUAGCUGAAGUUAUUGAUAUAGAUACUUCAGAAUUUGAAAUCACAAUGAAGUUCAAACUUAAGACAUCUGAUAGUAUGCCACCAGUUACAAUUCAAACCAAUGAUGAUGUGGAAUUUUUUUAGAUUCCAAUUUAAUUUCACUUCUUUUUUUAAUAAUUUUCGUUGACAUUUUCUGCAUAGCAGCAAAUAUAAAUUCUUAGCACAAAUUAAGUCUUUAAAGAACUAAAUUAAUCUAAUGAUUAAUGGAAAAAUUCGUGUAAUUUUAAAGUCGCAAUUAAACAUAUUACAGACAUUUAAAAAGUUUUUUUUUUUUUUAUCUUCAAAGUGUUUUCUUCCUCUGGCCAAGCAUACAAGCAUACAUGAGGAAUGCCUGCAUAUAAUUAAUCCAUGAAAUCAAUUAAGAAAAAAAAAUAUCAACUAUAGGAAAUUAAUGUAAUGUUAUACACAUAAGAACACCAUUCGCAGUGAUAAAAUAUUUCCACUCAUAACUAGACAUAUCAUGACUUACCAUGGCUUAUAAUUGGAAAUUAAGAAUCUCUCUAACUAAUGGCAUUUCACAAGGUAAAGGUAUAUGCACCAUUCCAAUUUAUUGUGAGCCUAAUUAAACUAAAUGUAAUGUGUAGAUUCUAUUGACAAGAAACAAAAUGUGGAAUUGAAGGUCGUGUAAUUGUGUAAUACAAGAAGAUCGUGUAAUUGUAUAAUACAUGAAGGUCGUAUAAACGUGUAAUACAUGAAGGUCGUGUAAACGUGUAAUACAUGAAGGUCGUGUAAUCGUGCAAUACAUGAAGGUCGUGUAAUCGUGCAAUACAUGAAGGUCGUGUAAUACAUAACCUUGAAUCUUACAUAACCUUACACGACUAAAUCUUGUGUUACAUAACAAAAUUAUAAUCAGCACAAUCCAUUAAUUUUUCACAAUUUGCAUACAGCAAAACAACUAGAAAUUUGUUUUCGAAUAUGUUAUGAGAGACCCACAACUAAUUAAUCUAUUUUUUCAAUAUAAAACCCUAACUUUUUGUUUUUUUCCCUUGAAUAUUAACAAGAAAACUAAUUACAUGGAAUUACUUGUCUCAACUAGUUACAUUCUGACAAUUUUGCAGUAAAUGAUAAACUCUCUCCAGCGAUUAUGUAGUGACGAACUAUGCUUCACUUUCUCAGUUGUGGCAGCUUCCCCUUCUCAGGCUUAGUUUGCUCGUGUUGAAGUUCGAUUUACCAUGUAUGGAGAAUGAAUGUUUGUUUCGGUAGAGGUGAUGCCGGUGAGGAAAUUGCAGUGUUUGUUUGUUUGAGUUUGAUAAUGGAGGGAAUUGCAGCAGAUGAGUGUUUGUUUGCUUCAGUAGAGAAGGGAGAGGUGCUGUCCGUUGAGUUGAAAUGUUUUAAAAUGAGGAUAGCUUAGUAAUUUCCUAUCAGUUUUUAAAGGGUAUCGAUGAAAAUUUUGGCAAAAACAGAUUUUAGGGUAUUGUGAUAAUUUUUGAAGUAAGGAGGUGUACCGGGCGCAAUUGGCACAGACAAUUAAGCUUAAAACAAUUUCAAAUGAAUUUUAGACUAAUGAAAGUCGAUUCUCAUCCAAGUUUGGUAACUUAUUGACAUCUUCUCAUAUAACCUUCGAUCAAGUCGAUUCUUACCUGACGACUAAUUGGUACAUCACCGUUGUUCUCUAUACUCGCAUGCAUCCGAUCACAAAUCUCUCUCCAAUUGUCGUCUUUCUUCGCCGUUUUAGCGCAUCCUUCUUGAAUUUCCCGCAUUUCGUUCCCUCCUGUUACAAGUCUCCGGUCAGGUCAGUUUACUUGCCGAUUAAUUCGGCAAAUCUCGAAUCUCUUCUCUAUCUCUCUCGUUUUCUCGCGUCGUUUCACUUCAAUUUUUUGUGUCUCCUUUCAGUUUAAGUGAUUGAAUUAAUUUUAUCGCAGUCGUAAGAGAAAUUAAGUAAUGCUCUUGGAUUUAAAAUUUUUUUGCUUUCGACUUUAGAGUCUCGAAAGUCAAACUCUGCUACGAAUCCAUAGAUUCUCAAUGUUUAUAAUCUUAUUUGUGUUUGACCAGGUAACUGGAUCGUGAAAUUCGUCGUUUUGUAUCAAUUCAAGCUUUCGCGAGCUCAUGGAAUCACCUGGUGAGUUGUGGUGAAACGUUAUCGUUUCAAUUUUCGCUUAAUUCUUUAUUGCAUAUUUUUUUUCUCUAUUAUUUCAGUUUAAUUUAGAAAAGAAAGAGGACCCAAAAAGAGAGAGAGAGAGAGAGACUCUACCAUACUCAAUUCCUUGCUCAUUCUGAUUUGGCCUGAAUGUUGGCAUUGACAAUUAUUUGUUUUCAUUUCCAUUUAAUUCUCAUUUAGACAGUCUUUACUAACGGUCAAUAAUAGUUUAAGGAAAAUUAUAAUAGGGAUUCUGCAAUAAUCUUUCUGCAUUGUUCAAGUUAGUAGACAAUGAAUAGGAUGUUUAUGCUUACCUCAUUUUGAACCCUGAGGGCUUAGUUGAGUAGUUGAUCCAACAUAUCCAGCAACGGUUGAUGUGAGAACAGGAUGCCACUUAGAUAGGCUUAAACUGGUUUUGGAGGUUUGUAUUCAUUCUAUUGUACGUCUUGCUUACAAAUUUUUUAUUUUGUAUAAUAUGCUCUUUGUUGGUAAAUCUCAUUUGACUUAGAAAAGAUAGUUUUAUCCCAACAGUAGGAUAAAUCAUUGAGAUGCAUGGCAGUGUGAAUAUAGUAGACAAAAUCAUUGAGACACAUGGUGGUGUGAACAUAGUAAACUUUGUCAAACACAGCUAAGAUGAACAAAUUGUUUCAUUAACCUUUAUCUUAUCUGCUGUGAUGAUUCAAAUUAAUGCUGUUUGGUAGGUUGCAAAAAACGAAAUGAGCUGACUGUUCGUAUUAUUUAGUCAGAUCUCUAGCAAUAAGUUGAAGUUCAUUGUCACAUGGGUUGGGAGUAGCAUGGGCUGUGAGUAGUAGAAUGGAUUUAUGGAGUUGAUACAAGUGCCCAUAAUCUAUCAUGUCAUUCUAGGAUUAAAUGGAUUGCACAUUACUGUAAAGUUGGAGGUUAAAUUUAUAUAAUUCGGAUUGAUUGUAAAAUGGGAGGCAGAGAUGAGUUAGAAAAAGAAUGACCUGUGUCCUUUUUGAGCUGUUUCUAAAUCUCCCUGGUGUGCUUCAUGCUUAACACGUGUCUUUCCAAAUAAUUUUGCUUAACCUGUGCUUGUCUACUUCUUGUGCUAUUCUGUGCCUGGUCCUGAGCUGUGUUGGUAGAUUGACAUAAUUUUGCUCUGCUAAAUGUAUAACUUAUUAAUCAGAGUCCUGUUAUUAUGGUUUGACACUACUGACAUAUUGUGUUGGUAUUUAUUUGUACUUCCCUUGGUUGAAUUAUUUGCUGUCUCCAUGCCAUUCGAUAUGGUGCUACUUGGUUUUUGAUCAUCCAUGACGCUAUAUAUAUGUAAAGGAUGAAUUGAUUGUUUUGGCUUGUAUUCUCACAUUUUAUGAUUGAUCGAUGGAAAGGUCUUCAUGUAUUAAAUUCAACCUCACAAGCGUAAGAUUGACAGAUUGUGGGAAAAUUUUCAGGAAAAGAAACUAGACUUCAUGGAAGCAAUGAAGCUUGAAAUUGAACGUCUGCAGCUGAAUCUUUCUGCAGCUGAAAGGGAUAGAGCUUUAUUGUCAAUUGGAACUGAUCCUGCCUCUAUAAAUCCAAAUGUAUUGCUUGAUGAAUCUUACAUGGGAAGACUGUCGAGUAGCAACCACUCUUGCAUUACUUGGCCAAACUUCCCUAGAAGACAAAAUUGUUGGUGCAAUUGGCCUUGAGAAUAGUGAUGAUAGUGUUUUAGACUUCUGGAAUAUUACUAGAAUCGGAGAGAGUUGUUCUGGUGGCGGGUGCAAGGUUCGUGCAGAAACUAAGGUGCCUCCUCUUGCUUCCUCAACUGCAACAUCUGUUGGAGCUUCACAAUCCCCUUUGUUGUGUUCUCAAUGUGAAAGAAAAAGUUUGCAAAGUUUGUUGUGCAGGAAGAGGAGCUCUACUGUUUUCAAAUUAUAAAUCAAGGGAUGUGACCAACUACAAUGGCUUCUCAAGUCAGAGUGGAUCAAGCCAUGGAAGCCAAGUUGAUGUAUCUACCAGUCGUUCACUAACACUGGAUGGCGUUAUCUGUAAACACUGCUGCCAUGAGAUUGUGCUUGAUGCAUUGAUGUUGGACUAUGUUAGGGUCUUGAUUAGCUUGCCAAGAAGUUCCUGUGCAGACAACGCAGCAUACAAUGCUUUGAAUGAGGUUGUUGGAUCCUGCUUAAAGGAUAGUCUUUCUGAAAGGAUUCAGUCUUCCGAUAACGUGCAAGCUGCUGAAGUCCUUCACCAAUUAUGUGGUGGACAGGAAUCACUUGCUGAAUUUCCAUUUGCUAGCUUUUUGCACUAGGUAUGUUCUUGGUUUGUAUUCAGUUCUCAUCAUGUUAUGUUUUCCUUUUAAAUUUCUUUUCUUGAUUAAAACUUUUAGAAAUAUGUUUUAGUAUUUGUUCUUAUGAUAUAUGCGCAGAACAUUCAUCCCACUUAUCCAUGAGAAUCCUUGUCUGGUUUGAUUUUCAAUUGAGACAUUUUUGGGAACCCUGAGCAGGUUCCAUAUGCUAAUAAUCUUUGAGGUAAGGUGUUGUAGGAUGCCUUGAGAAGCUAAAAACCUAUUACAAGGAAAAGCUCUUGCAUUGUUUUGUGCAAUCUGUGUGCUAGCAAGUCAUGUCUCUAAUAAUUUCAUAGUUUGCUUGAUUAGGAAUUUUUUAUCUUGAUAUGGAUUGUUUAUUCUAGAUUCCUUGGUGCCACUGUAGGUUGAAACAGCAAAAGAUUCAGCACCGAUUUUGUCACUGCUUGCCCCAUUAAAUUCUGGAUCAAGGCACUCAUAUUGGAGAGCUCCACCUUGUACUACUUCUGUUGAAUUUGUUAUUGUUCUCGGUUCUGUUUCUGAUGUCAGUGGGGUUAUCUUGCUUGUUAGUCCUUGCGGCUAUUCUGUGGGUGACACUCUGAUGGUAAGUGCCAUAUUUAUUCCCUUAUUUCCUUGUUGUUCAAUAAAUUUGGUGAUAAGCCAAGUGGCCUUAAUAAUGAAGCCCAGUACCAGGGGUGGUGGGUAAUCGAUAUUCAACUUGUGAAUAUUCCUAAGCAAGCACUGAAUCAACAUAGACCUCGGCAAAAGAUCUCCAUGCUAUUAUAACGAAAGUCAUAUUUUGAAAUGAUUAAAAGAGUCCCUGUGUAGUGCCAUUUCCAAAGAAAUUGCAGCUGGGGGUUUAGUUUCAUGUAGGUUAGUUUCCGAUAAUAAACUUUCCAUUUCAUUAAUUGCUGAUGAAAAAACCAAGUAAGAACAGUUUUGUUGCUCGUCAUUUAUGUAUAUUUUGGUAAACUGUAAUUUUAAAUUCUCAACGAUCUUCCCUUUGUAGGUAAGAAGAUGGUCCACUCACUUGAUAUUUAUGAUUGUAGAUCAGGUUUCUAUUGGUUUGCCUUUAUCAUUCGGAACCCAAGUUUGAUAUUAACAGAGAUCACGUCAAUAAUAUCCUAUUGGGGUAGAUGUGGGUGAGGAUUUAAAAUCAAAUUUGAAAUUGAGGGCAAAGAAGAGAAAAGAAACCACAAUAAUUAAACAUAAUAUUAGGAACUAUUCUGAUGAGUUUUAAUCUCGAGAGGAACAAUUUUCAAAUUCAAAAUUUAACUGCUAGAGAAAUUGUAGCUUUUUGUCAUUAGUUAAGAGGAAAGAGAAUAAGAACUAUCCGGCCCUUUCCUUCAUGAAUGUGUGUUGAGGUUGCUGUAUUAUUUAGUCAGUAUUUGUAAUUUUCUUCCCUGCAGUGCUCUCUGCCUCCUGAAUUUGCUACUGAGUCCAUAUUUUUCUUUGAGCUGUUGCUUCCUAUUGCUGUUACAGGUACAAAUCUGGGCAAGCAAUAAGAUACACCGGGAGGAAAGGUCAUCAAUGGGAAAAUGGGAUGUCCAAUCCCUCAUCACAUCUUCUUCAGAUUUGUAUGGUCCAGAAAAGUCCGCUAGUGUUGAAAAAUUACCUAGGCAUGUAAAAUUUACUUUUAAGAAUCCUGUUAGGUGCCGCAUUGUUUGGAUCACAUUACGUCUUCAGAGACCUGGUUCGGCUUCAGUUAAUUUCGGGAAGGACUUCAGUCUUUUGUCUCUUGAUGAAGAUGAAAACCCCUUUGCACAAGUAGACAGACGUGCUUCAUUUGGAGGAGCAGUUGAAAAUGAACCAUGUAUUCAUGCCAAAAGAAUUCUUGUAGUCGGAAGCCCAGUAAAAAGGGAGGGGCUUACGUCAUCACAGAGCUCUGAGCAGCUAAGUAUUAGAAACUGGUUGGAUAGAGCUCCACAAAUGAGUAGAUUCAAGGUAUUAGUUGCUUUCACUCUUUGUUCAUUCAUAAUUCCAGCUUUCUGCUUGAUGCCUUGCCUCUGAUAAACCUCUUUUUUCUCUUCAGGUCCCAAUUGAGGCCGAGAGAUUGAUGGACUACGAUCUCGUCUUGGAACAAUAUCUACCUCCAGCGUCACCUUUGCUUGCCGGAUUCCGUCUAGACGCUUUCAGUGCAAUAAAACCUAGGGUUACCCAUUCACCUUCCUCAGAUUCAGAUAUCUGGGACAAAUCAGUAACAUUUUUAGAAGACAGGUACAUCUCUCAAGCUGUGUUGUAUUUACAAGUAUCCGCACUCCAGGAACCACAUAACAUGGUAACUAUUGUGGAAUAUCGACUGCCGGAGGCUAGAGCCGGAACGCCAAUGUACUUUGAUUUCCCACGACCGAUACAGUCCCGACGAGUUUCAUUCAAGCUUCUUGGAGAUGUUACAGCAUUUGCAGACUUCAGAACAAGAUGAUUCAGGAUUGAGAGCUCCGCUUGUGGCUACAGGUUUGUCUUUGUCAAACAGAAUCAAGUUAUAUUAUUAUUGUGAUCCUAGCGAGCUUGGAAAAUGGGCAAGCCUUUCGGCUGUUUGAUCGUUAUUUACAUGAGAGAAAGAGUUUUGGGUUUGACUUUGAUUUUGAUUUGUAUUUGUUGUCAUUUCAUUGAAAUUUCUUUUUGUUGUAAAAAAAUCAGAAGGUAAAAGUAUUAAAUUCACUGAUGCGGUAAUAUCUGUGGUGGUUUCAUGAUUUUAUGUUUAACUUGAAGUUAGUAAGCAAUGACUUAACAAUAGCACUUUGAAUUUAACGUGGAUCAUAUUGUAUUUGAAAUUAAAAAAAUAAAGAGAGAAAUUAAUUGUUAAUUGAGUUGGACAAUUUUCCGUAGUUAAUUGCUCCCAGAAAAGAGAAGAAUGGGAUUGUGCUUCCUUACACGAAGAAAGACUCGAACGUCUUCGCGCUAAUUAAUCAAUGAAUGAUUUUGUCAAAUAUCUGGCCCUUUCUUUCUUGAAUGUCUGUGUACAAGUUGCUGUGUCAUUUAGUCAGUAUUUGCAAUUUUCUUCCCUGUAGUGCUCUCUGCUUCCUGAAUUUAUAUUGUUGUGAUCUAGUUGCUGAGUGCAUAUUUUUUCUUUCUCGUUGCUGCAGGUUUGUCGUUGUCAAACAGAAUCAAGUUGUAUUAUUAUUGUGAUCCUUAUGAGCUUGGAAAAUGGGCAAGCGUUUCUGGAGUUUGAUCCUUAUUUAUAUGUCAGAGAAAGAGUUCUGGGUUUGGGUUUGAUUUUGAUUUGUAAUUUUUGUCAGUUUAUUGAAAUUUUUUGUUGUAUAAAAGCAGAAUGUAAAGGUAUAAAAAUUCAUUGAUGCUGCAAUGUCUGUGCUUUUGAGAAAGAAGAAUUCAAUGUCUUUUCUAUGCCAUUGGAUUUUCCCACUGCUUGUAAACUUGGGCUGUCGAAUGCUCUGUGAACCUUAAGGGCUAUAAAUAAAUUUUCAAGACUGAAGGAUUUAUUAAUCGAGUUCAAAAGAUUGUAAGUUGGUGAGCGUUGGCAUUUAAAAAAUCAAUUGUUAUUCUCUCAAUAAUCUCUCUCUUCUGCCGACCCCCCAAGCGCAGAAACCCGUAGAUGAUCUCUCCUCGUGAAGUGUUUUUCUUUUUCGAGUGAAGGUGGUUUUCUACUUACAUAUCUCGGGGGUCUUGUGGGGCCUUAUGAUAUCUAAUGUGUGAAAUUUCUUUCUCAUUUUACCAUAAAAAAUGUCUGUAAUGAUCUAAAGUUCGAGUCUUAAAUUAUCUUAAAUUUAUAUAUAGAGUGGAGCUAUUGGCACCCUAUUUAGAGUGGAGUUAUUGGCACCCCUACAUUACUCUUACAAAACCCCACUUUAAAUAAAAUUACAAUUAAGGACAACUAAAAAUUAAACACUUAUAGAUGUUUUUACAACAAAUUAUUUAAUUCAUAAUCAAUCCUUUAAAAAAAAAAUCUAUAUGUUACUUCCUAUCUAACUAAAAUAAAUUGUACAAAUUUAGAAUAAUCUAUUGUUCUCUUUUGAUUUCUUAUUGAUUGAAUAUUUUUAUAUUUAAAAUUGCUUUGAAAUUAUAAUUUGAAAUAUGUGUUAUUUUAGCCAAUGAUUAAUACUAAAAAACUUAUCACUCAUAUAACUUUUUGAUUUGUGUGUAGGGUAAUAAUAAAAUUAAAAAUAAUUAAAAAAAUAGCACAAUAAUGAGUUUUAACAAUAAAACAAAUCCAAUGAAAUUGAAAAUUUAGAAAAGUGUAUCUAAGAAAAGGGACAUUUUCAGAAAUAAAAUGAAUAUAACUAAAAAUGGGAUUUUUUGAGGAGAUCAUAGGGGUGCCAAUAGUCCAACUCGUAAUUAAGAAUCUCCCAUUAGAUUGUCAACCAAAAAGACACUUGCAUAAGAAGAAGAAUUUGUCAGUUUGAUUUUUUUUGUAGAUCCAACAUUUCUCAUAUCCUGAGCGCCUUUCCGUAUCAAAUUAAAAUAGUAUUAGCAAAAUUGUAGUGCAAAUUCAAUUAACCAACUAAUAGUCUAAGAAGCAAAGAGAGGAUUACAAGUUCACAACACCAUUACAAAGGAUUCAAAAUUCCCACACGAAAACAUCAAUGUACAGAUUAUAAACAAUCCGAAUUGGACACAAGAAAAACCCUUCAAUGGAUUGCUUGCCUUCCCAAUGCUAUAUACUGUGCAAACUGCGCAUUGGCCAAGAAAAUGUUUUCAAUUUAGUGUAUUUUCAAAAUGCUUAUUUUCUCAGAAUAAAAAAAAUAAAAAAAGAAUUCUUACAUGUUUCAUCAGCAUGAUUAAAAUCAAAGAAGAAAGCGAGACAUAAUGUCUCUGACAUAAUAAAAUUACCAAAAAUUUCAAGAAAAAAAAAGGUUAAAACAUGUAAUCUUCAGAAGCAUAUAAUAAAAGAAGACUUCCACAAGUUACUACAAUUUCAUGCAGUAGAGAUUAACUGAUGCUUUGACUUAUUAGCAGGUUGCAAUGAAUUAUUAACUGAUGCUUUGACUAAUUAGUUCUGCAGCUAAGUUAAAUAAAAUAAGGUAUUUUCAAAAGCAAAAUGGAAUCCAUAGAUAAAACAUCAUCUUAAACAAAUCACAAUCUAGAAUUAGAGCAUUUUCGACAUACCUAAGGAACACGAAUACGUGAAAACGGGUGACUCAUCUGUUAAGAAGUGUUGAUUUGAUCGGCUCUGCAAAUUCUCUUGGGACUCGGUUCUAAUUCCUCUUCAUCAAAACUGUAAUAUAAUUCCCCUUCAUCAGAACUCGAAUCAAAUUCACUUGUAGCAGUUCCACUCGCGCUUGGCAAAUCAUCCAAUUUCCAAACUUCGGUACCAAAAUUGAGAGUAAAAGAGGGACAGAGUAAACAAGAGAGGGAAUUUGAUACCUCGUUGUAUGCAUUUUCAUAGCCCAGUCUCAGUGAUGCUGCAAUUGCCAUACGUAGUGAAUCUGCCAAAAUCUUGUUGUUUGCUUUUCCAUCAAGUUUCAAGCAGUUAGUAAACCCAAAAUAAAUUGGUUGUGGCGUCACAUAUUCCGGAUGCCAUUGACGAAGGUCAGGAGAGGGUUUGGAUAGCUUUUCGAGCACGGAUGCAUCUAGUUCUUGUACACAUGACGGAAUCUCUGGCAAAGAUUGAAGCCGGUUGCAGUUCAUUGCAUUUAGUGACUGUAGACACAAUGGAAGUUCUGGUAAUGACUGAAGCAUGUUACAAUCCUCCAAGUCAAUAGUUUCUAGACCCAAUGGAAGUGCUGGUAAUGACUGAAGCAUGUUACAACGCCUCAAGCGAAGAGUUUCUAGACCCAAUGGAAGUUCUGGUAAUGACUGAAGUAUCUUACAAUCCCUCAAUUCAAGAUAUUUUAGACACAAUGGAAGUUCUGGUAAUGACUGAAGCAUAUUACAAUCCUCCAAGUCAAGAUAACGUAGCCACGACAGUUGCUUGAUACUUGCAGGUAAACUCUCAAAGUUAUUUCCACUUAAAUUGCCAAUGUUAUUCGGCAACAUAUCAAGUAUAGAGCAACCACUUACGGACAAAAUUACAAGCCCCGGUAGAUUUUCAAAUGGCGAUGGCAGAGCCGUCCAGACUAAACCGAUGUGAUUUAAAUGUUCCAUUUUCUCCAAGAUUUCUGGGAAACGCUCAAGGUUCAAGCAGCCAUAAAGAAAAAGCUUAACCAAAGAUCUCAAUUUACAGAACCUAGUUGAAAUCCUCUUCAGCCGUUUGCAAAACCUCAAAUCCAACUCUACAAGAUGAGUUAGGCACUCUAUUGAUGAUGGAACUUCUUCUAUUGCAGUGUAGCCCAAGUUUAGCGAUGUUACUUUCCCAGAAAUCUGUGGAAACUCUUUGAGAUUAACACAACAGGAGAAAUUAAUAGUUACUGGACAAACAAAACGAAGAUUGCUUGGAAAAGACAUAAGACUUUUGCAGCCCUCAAAAGACAACGCACUGAGAUACUUGAAAUUCUGGAUAGAUGAGGGAACACAAGCCAAGUUUGUAUAAUCCAAAAGAUAUGUUUCAACAUUUGGGGUUUCUAAUGGGCCUGGCAUCUUGAUGAAAUGUCGAGAAUGACUGAGGUUAAUAGAUUUUAACUUGAAAGCUUCCUGCAAUAACAGAUAUAUAAAGACUAUAUUAAUUAAAAAGCAACAUUGAAUUCAACAAUUAAUUGCACGUAUAUUUAAAGAAAGAAAAAAUUAAUGUUUUAGUUUUAGUACAGAACUUACCUUUUCUCCUUCCCAAAGUUGCUCCACUUUACUAAAACGCAAAUUCAGUUCAACAAGGUUCUUUGGCUUGAAAUUUGAUGGCAGUGUCCUUAAUGGAUAUGUGUCCCAAUGAAGAUAUCUCAAUUUUUUAGGAAGAUAAUCUAAGCCUUUUCGAAGCUGCACUUUAGAGUAUGAAAGUUGCUCUUCAAAGCUCAUACUUAGAAACCUUUCAAUCUCAGGUACAUAAAAUUUGAGCAAUCUUAGAUUAGACAUUUUUGUGAAGGCUCCUGGGUCUAAAUUGAUGCCUUUUAUUUUGGACAAAUCCAGAAAUAUGCCUUCAAUUGCAUCGGUCCCCUUAUUAAAAAAAAAACAAAGAAUGAGUAACCCUAAAACAGAAAAGAAACAUUCGUAAACUUUAUUAACUAAGAGCUCCUUAAACAAAAACAAAUUCUGUAAUCUUUGAUUUUAUUUUUUUAAUAUAUUAAAUAUCUAUAUACGAGAAAAGAAAAUUUUGGGGACCAUUGCAAAAUUAAACUAACCGAAAAAAAAUUCAAAAUUUGGGGACCAUUGCAAAAUUCAACUAAACGAAAAAAAAUUCAAAAUUUCUCUAAUUUACAAACCUGUUAUCUUAAUAUCUAGAAGUUGAGAAGACAAGGCCUAUUUGAUUGGUAUAAGAUUUCGAUUUAUUUUUUUAGUCCAUAGAAUCCAAAAUGUUAGUUCAAAAUUUCGAUCAAUUUCGAUUUAUUUUUUGAGAUACAGCCCUUUUUCAAAAGGAUUUAACCAUCUUACAGCCUCCUUAAGGUACAUUUAAGCUAAAAGAAGUGAUUGGAGGCAGAACUAGGUGGGCCAAUCAGUCCAUUUUAUUAGCGACUAUAGCUUUAAAAAAAUUAUACUCUAAAACACACCUACUUUUUUGAAAAAAAAUAUAAUUAUAUUGAAAUAGAACCAAGUGGGCCAAUCCUCAUGGCACUCACUUUGUUCUGACACUCUUCACUAAAUUUGAAGAAAAAUAAAAUUAUACUCUUCACACUCUUAUUCAAGAUUCCAAAAUUGAAAAAAUUUGGAGUUUUCUUUAAAAAUUUAAAAUUUGAAGACUUGUUCUCUUGACACCCUCAGUCAUUAAUUUCACCUAAUUAUGGUUUUUAUGAUUUUGGUUGUUUUGUUCAUAAAAUAAUUUUACUAAAGGAUGUUCUCGUAAUAAUAAAAAUUAUUAAAAAAACAUGGGUGUGCUGGUAUGGUUGGGAAAAUACGAGUGCAGAACUCCAAACAAAUAAAAGAUUUAUAUAAAUCAUGCAUUUGCAAGCGGCUAUCUAGCUCAUGCGUUGGGAAGCAGUUAUAUGACACUGUUAUGAGUGACUUGUCCACGAGGACAUCCAGUCUGUGAGACCCAGAAUCAUCAAGUAUCCUUGUCACAAAAUCUUUAUCCUCUCCCUCAAGGAAACACGCAAUAUCUAGAAACAUACUCUUCUCCUUGCGUGUUAAUUCAUUAAAGCUAAUCUUUAAUAUAUCAUAAAUACCAUGAAUAUCAGAUUCACAAAUCCGAUUUAAGUCGUCCAAUACAUUUUCCCAAUGGCUUUUCCUCUUGAGAUACAGGGAGGAACCCAACACUUUAAGAACUAAUGGAUUGCCAUUGGCAUACCAUACAACCCUCCAUGAGUGCUGGUAGAGAUCUUCAGGACAAUGAUUUUCUUUAACAGCGAAGUUACAAAAAUGCUCGAAAGCCUCAUCAAAUUUCAAUCCAUUGACCCUAUAUAUUUUCUCCUUCUCCACUCCAAAUUUUUCGAGGACUCGUUUAUCCCUGGUGGUUACAACAAUUCUACUUCCUGGACCAUAUUGAUCAAGCCCUCCAAUCAAACCCUCUAAUUGUUCAUCUUUAUUCACAUCAUCGAGUACAAUCAACGCCUUCAUGCGUCGGACCCUCCCUUUAGUAAAUAGUGGAAUAUUGGGACCAGCUACUUCAAGUUUUUCACUUAAUAUUGUCGAAAGCAUUUCCUUUUGUAGGUCUUCUAGGCCACCCUCUGUUUCUGAUUUUCUCCAAACAUUUUUUGCAAAGUAUUUACCAUCAAACUCACCAGAAAAUUGAUCGAAAAUAGCUUCAGCAAGGGUGGUUUUGCCUAUACCGCCCAUGCCCCAAAUUCCAACAAUUUGGACAGUAUCCGACAAAUCCAUACACAGAAAUGGUUUAAUCUGCUCAAUUCGUGAAUUUAAUCCAACUAGGCCGUUGGAUGAGUCCGUUGAGACUGUUAUUUUUUCCAACUUCUUCAAAACAUCUUCGACAAUUUUGUUUACAAGUUCCGCAUCGUGCCUAAUAGAAAGGUGCAAAGAUGCAAAAACAUUGAGUCAAAUCGGGGCCGAGACAGAAACAGAGAAAAGAUGAAUUAGGAAAGAGAGUUACCUGAAUUUCGUGGAUUCAUGGCCGGCUAUUUGGGAUGUUUCUGUCAGUGCAUCCCUCCACCUCUGAACCAUUUCUGGUUUAUCUUCGAACUGUUUUUUGAGCUCAUCAAAACGGUCUCCAAAUGUUCCGUUUUGAUGCCGCACAUCAGAUGGACUUACUCCAUAGAAGACUGGAAUAAUAAUUUGGCCGUUUGUGUUCUUGCAUUCAAGAAUCUUGACAAGUUCAUUCAGGCACCAUUUUGAAGAAGCGUAGUCCUUUGAGAAAAUGACCACCGAAAUUUUUGAACCUUCGAUUGCGUUCAAAAGGGCGGGUGAAAUCUCAUCUCCUCGCCUAAGCUCUUCAUCAUCAAUAAAUGUUUUGAUUUUCUUUCCUUCAUACAAUUUAUCAUAGAGAUAGCAAGUAAAGCUCUUACGAGUGUCCUCCCCUCUAAAGUUGAGGAAGACUUCAUAAUUGCCACAAGAAGAAGAGGAAGCCAUGAAGGAAAUUUUAGAAAAUUGGUGACAGAAACAGAGAAUUAAUCUUGAGAGUUGAGAGAGGAGAUGUAAGAAUGAACAUGUGUGAAGAUUCUUGCGAGUACAUAUUAAAUAAUUGAAUGGCUGGAGCUUUCUUAGUUUCCUGGAAAUUUCCUGGAGCUUUCGUUUACAUGCUCUGUCAAGUCAUGAAACAUAAUCAUGAUAAUGGGGCAGACCGAAAAGAAAAGCAACAAUUCAAAUAUUUGAUUCAACCAAUAUAAAAAGGAAGGAAAAGCAAAGAAAGGAAAUGUUGAAAGUAGAGUUAGGGAAUUAUAAAAAGCUGAAGGAAAUUGGAAUUUUGCACAAUUUCUACAGCGAGGAACUUUCAGAGUCGUUACCUCAUUGUUACAGUUUAGAUUAAGAUGUGAGGGUGCAAGCAUUUACCUAGAUUUUACCUCCGCACUAAAUUCUUAAGUUUUGAAAAUUAUGAGACCUUUAUAUUGGAACAUAUUAUAAUCGAAUCAAAACUUAAAAUUUUAAUAUUGUUAAUCUUUAAUCUUUAAAAAAAAAUUACCUCGCCGUUACAGUUUGGAUUAAGAUUUGAAUAAGUAUUUACCUAAAUUUUAUCUCCGCCUGUAAAUUCUUAUGUUUUAAAAAUUAUGAGACCUUUAUAUUGGGAGAUAUUAUAAUCGAAUCAAAAUUUUGAAUUUCAAUAUUAUUAUUCUUUUAAAAUUUUUUUGAGAUAACAGAGUGAUUGAUAAUAUAGGAGAACUUGUCUAGGCAAGCACAUGCAUACACAAAUGUGAUGGAUUCAAAAAGAAAUUAAAGUGAUAAUGUACGUGGAUCCUUAAAAUAAAAAGUGAAAUCGCUUGGUGGCCCAGUAAAAUUAGAGAACAAAGAAGAAUUAGUUAUUGAUAUACAAAAGAGAAAAACUCCAAAAUUUCAAGCAAAAAUAGUUUCAUAUACCUUUUCGAUUUUGUAAGGGGUGAGGUUUUGAAUUUCAAUAGUUUCCUCUAAAAUCAAAAGGCAACAAUUAAGUUAGAAAGAGCAAAGAAGACUUAUUAGUACCUUAUUGAAGGUAACAUUAUGGAACUUUCAAUUUCAUUACCUCACUGUUCAAUUUUUAUUGAGAUUUGUGCAAGAAUUUACCUAAAUAUUACCUAAAAUUGAGAUAUCAGAGUAAUAUCAAAUAGAAAAACUUGCCCACGGUAAGCCAAAAGUCUAGUCAACCACACGCAUAAAGCUAAAUAGAACAACUAACAAGAGAACAGAGAAACGCGUGGGUCCCUAAAAGAAAAGGCAAGCACAUAGAUGAAAAAGCCAUUACAUUUCUAUUUUACAUGUCAUUAAUUUCUGUAACACGGUGUGUGGCAGCAUAUGCACAAUCAAGUGAGGCAAAAGGGAUUCAAUUAUCGUGGCAGAACCGGAACGAGGACGCGUGAUGAAUAAUUCCUUCGAUAAAACGAAAAACAAACGCAGAGAAAAGAAUUUCUUAUAUGACAAGAAAUCAAAGAAAUCAAAGUAAUGUUUCAUUUUCCCUUCCCUACCUUUUUUUUGUUUUAUUUUUAUAGCAAAGAAUUAUAUCAUGAAAAGAAUCAAUUUAAUCACCUUUUCUAGCAGCCCAAUUUUUCUUUUAUAAAAUUUGACCAGGGAGACAAAGAAUAAUUAUUCAUACCUUCAUCACUAAGGAAAUACUUUUCGGUAUGGCUAAGGUGAGAAAAGGCUUUCCACAAACACUUGUACUUUGUAUUCCUGUAAAUUUUCUUUAAAGUCAAUAAAAACCAUAAGUUCUUUACAAUAACCAUGUCUUUGAUAAAAAAGUGCCGUAUUCCUUUAGAAUUUAAAACCGGCAAAACCGAAUCAGUGUCUUUGAAGAGACAUAAUGGUCGUAAUUCUUUAAAUGAGUUGGCUAUGGAAAUCCUUAUCCAAUAUUCUUUUACGCCAUAUUCUUUCGUAAACCAAAAUUCAUUUUGGAAUACUCUGUUGAGAAUGUCAAAUAAAACGGCAUUGAAGGAAGUUUUCAAAGGCAGAAUCCGCACUUGUCAAAUGGAUGAUCUGCACUUGUCAAAGACACAAUCCGCGUCAAAUGAAUCGACACAUUUCCUUCUGUAUUCGCAUAUAUAAUCUUUGAAAAAAUGUAGCUUCUGCAUCUAUAAAUAACGUUCAGUGUAUAAUGUUUUAUUCAAGAAAAGAAAACAAGUUUCUUCAUGGUAUCAGAGCCAUGAAUACGGUCAAGUUUCUUCAAGUUUCGCUGCUCUGUUUGUAACAAAAACAGAGAAAACCAAAAUCUUCCCACAACCAUUUUUUCCACCGUUUUCUUCCUUAAAAUCAUUCCCACCAUUAUAGAAAUCCAUGCCGAUCAAAAAACAAGCCACCCAUACGUAAAAAACUUGAGUUUACAAAUUUAUCAACAAUCUCAUAAAUUAGAUACAAAACAACGUGACGUUUAAUCUCCAGAACUGCAACAGUCUUAAAACGACAUGUCGUUUCUAUUCCAUCAGAACCGACAUAUCAUUUCUUCAAGCAGAGGCCAAACAACUUGUCGUUUUUUUUUAUCUAAAAAGGUUAUUUUUUCUUAUUUCAAUCUAGACGCCAAAAAAAAAAAUGGAGAAAACUCCAACUGAAUCUGAUCCUGUUGUCAUUCAAUCUGUUCAAUCUGAUGGAGUAUUUGAUGCUAGAAUUAUCCUCUCUGAGGCAAACUACGAUAUUUGGUCUCAAAUAAUGGAGUUGCAUCUCGCAGAAAGAGAAAAACUCUCAUAUAUUCGUAGCAACACAAAGCCAUCUGAGGAAUCUUCAAAGGAAUAUGAGAAAUGGUAUAGUGAGAACGAAAAGGUAAAAAAAUGGUUACUCAUAUCCAUGCCUUCGGAUAUCAUGAAGCGAUAUUUACAAAUUCCUACAGCCUACGAAAUAUGGGAUGCAUUAUCAAAAGCCUUCUAUGAUGGAAUCGAUGAAUUACAAGUUUUCACUCUAAACCAGAAGGCGUCUCUACCAAGCAAAAUUGACAGCCACUAUCUAAAUUCUUCAGAGAAUUGAUCGAAAUAUUUCGAGAACUUGAUCACCGAGAUAAAGUGGUCAUGAAGGAUCCAGAAGAUGUUGUAAUAUACAAAAGGUCUGUUGAAAGAUUGAGAGUGCACAUUUUUCUUGUUGGGCUAGAUGAAGAAUUUAACCAAGUUCGUGGAGAAAUUCUACGAAAAGAUAUUAUCCUAGAUUUAGAAGAAUGUUAUUUUUUGAUCUGAAGAGAAGAUGUACGGCAAAGCAAACUAAACAAGAAGGUCGACUCAGAAACGUCUGCUAUGAUAACACGACAUCAGCUUCAAAGGAAGCUUGUUGACAAGUCAUCACUCCAUUGCACUCAUUGUAGGAAGAAGGGUCAUACGAAAUAACAAUGUUUUGAAAUCAUUGGAUAUCCUGACUGGUGGGAUACUUGAAAGAAAAACACCAAGCAUGGAUCAAAAACUGUAGUAGUUGAAUCCACAUCCACUACAGAUCUUAGAAAAUAAUCUUCAGUGCAAAUCGCAACCUCUGUCAGUCCAGGUAAGGCCCUUAAAACUCUUACACCUGUUAUUAAUAGUACAUGGAUAAUUGAUUCUGGGGCAACUGAUCAUAUGACUUUUGAUUCUCGACAAGUUUCUCAAUUGAAACCAUCUUCACAAAAACAUGUUUCCACUCCAAAUGGAACCACAACCUCAGUUAUUGGGGAAGGAUCUUUACAACUCACAGAUAAAUUAAAUUUAGACUAUGUGUUAAUUGUUCCAUCUUUAGAUUAUAAUCUUUUAUUUGUGUCUCAAUUAACCACUUACUUAUCAUGUGUUGUAAUUUUUUGGCCUGAUCAUUGUGUGUUUAAGGACAUCCAAAUGAAGCAAACGAUUGGUUAUGGUAUUAAACGAGGCAACUUGUACUACUUGGAGAUGACAUCAACAAACACUGGAAAGCUAAGCCCUGCACUAGUCGCAGAUAGUUCCAUAAAAAAAGGAAAUCAGAAAUUUGGUUAUGGCAUAGACAUUUAGGGCAUGUGUCAUUUGGUUACUUAAAAAAAUUAUUUCCUAGUUUAUUUAUGAAAUUUGAUGUUUGUAACUUUAAUGUGAUGUUUGUGAACUUUCAAAAAGUCAUCGAACUACUUUUCCAUUGUCCUUAAAUAAGAAUCCAGUUCCUUUUAUAGUAGUACAUUCUGAUGUAUGGGGGCCAUCUAAAGUUUCUACAAUUGGAGGUGCUCGUUGGUUUGUUACAUUUAUUGAUGAUUGUAGCAGAAUGACAUGGAUUUUUCUGAUGAAAUCGAAAGACGAAAUAAACUCUUUAUUUCAAAGAUUUCAUAAGAUGGUGACGACUCAAUUUCAUACACAAAUUCGAGUUCUACAUACUGAUAAUGGAGGCGAGUAUAUGAGCACAACAAUUCAACAGUUUCUGAAAUCACAAGGAACUGUCCAUCAAACCACUUGUGUGGGGACACCCCAACAAAAUGGCAUUGCUGAACGAAAAAACAGACAUUUACUAGAAGUUGUUCGAGCAUCACUAAUCCAGGCCCACAUGCCAUUAUCUUAUUGGGGAGAAGCACUGGCAUCCGCAGCAUACUUGAUCAAUCGAACACCUUUAAGCUCUCUUGGAUUCCAGACUCUUUUCCAGGUUCUAAAUGAUGCAAUUAUGUCACCAAAUGUGCCAAAUUUACCCCCACAUGUGUUUGGUUGUGUUGCCUUUGUUCAUUUGCCUCAACAAGACAAAUUAUCUCCUCGAGCACUACGUUGUGUGUUUAUAGGGUAUGCCUUACAUCAAAAGGGAUACCGAUGAUAUGAUCCACCAUCAAGAAAAAUAUACAUCACUAUGGAUGUCGUCUUUCAUGAAGAUAUCAUGUACUACUUGUCAGAGCCUGAAUUUCAGGGGGAGUAUAAUGAAGAGGAAAUUCAUACUCUUACAUAUCUUCCACCUGAAGAAGAUCAAUCUUCCAUUGAGGUAGUAAACCUUCAAGAUAUUGGAAAAGAAAAUGGCGGUGAUUCUCAGGCUGAGAUAAGUGAAGACACAUUUGGGGAGCAAAAUAACUCAGACACAACUGCAAUCGAGAAUGAGUCACAUGAAGAAUACCUAACUAAUCGUCUGCUGAGGAUGUUCCUACCACAAGUCCCAAUCUAAUCAGAAGAAUUCUUCCCCAGCGUCAAAAUAGAGGUAUCCCUAAACCCACAUAUAAGCCUGACCUUUUUAGUAGAGUCAAAUACCCUAUGAGUCAUUUUGUGUCUAACCAUCGCUUGUCAGAAUCAAAUCAGUCAUUUUUGAAUUAAUUAUCUACUGUAUCUAUUCCUAAUAGUGUGCAGGAAGCCUUAAAAGACCCAAAGUGGAAAGCAGCUAUGAAUGACGAAAUGAGAUCUCUUCAGAAAAAUCAAACAUGGGAACUAGUUGAUCUUCCACCAGGAAAGAAACUAGUGGGUUGCCGAUGGAUCUACACUAUAAAGUACAAAGCAGAUGGCUCUAUUGAACGAUACAAAGCAAGGCUCGUAGCUAAGGGUUACACCCAAACCUACGGGAUAGAUUAUACCGAUACGUUUGCACCGGUAGCAAAAAUUAAUACUAUUCGUAUCUUAUUAUCAUUAGCAGUCAACCUGGAUUGGCCAGUGCAACAGUUCGAUGUAAAGAAUGCUCUCCUCCAUGGAUACCUGUCUAAAGAAAUUUAUAUGGAUCUGCCACCAAGAUGCAGUGGACCAGAACGACUCAAUCAGAAAGUAUGCAAAUUGAAGAAAUCAUUGUACGGGUUGAAGCAACCCCCAAGAGCAUGGUUCGGGAAAUUCACAAAGGCUAUGGUUCUUUUUGGGUAUAACCAAAGCAAUUCAGAUCAUACCUUAUUCAUUAAAAAACGACAAGGUAAAAUCACUGCCCUUAUUGUCUAUGUGGAUGAUAUGGUAGUCACAGGCAACGACGAGGAAGAAAGAGAGGCUCUUCAGAAGUACUUGUCGAGAGAGUUUGAGAUGAACGAUUUAGGAGCCUUAAAAUACUUUCUUGGAAUUGAGGUUUCUCGAUCUAAGGGAGGAAUUUUCCUAUCUCAAAGGAAAUAUGCCUUAGAUCUAUUGCACGAAACGGGAAUGACAGCUUGUCAGCCUAUUGACACCCCAAUAGAAGGACUGAAGUUUUGUAUUACCUCAGACCAAGUUCCAAUAGAUAAAGGAAGAUAUCAAAGGCUGAUUCGAAGAUUGAUGUACUUGUCCCACACAAAGCCAGAUCUUGCUUAUGCAUUGAGUGUUGUAAGUUGUUGUGCAAAUUUUAAUGUACUCGCAAGCGCACGAAUCUAUUGUAGUAUAGAUCAAUGGUGAUGAGUGUCGAUCCCACGAGGAGGUGGAUUUUAAUUAUAUAUAGAAUUAAUUUUGUAAAUGGGUAGUUGGAUUUAUGGUGGAAAUGAUUUGGAAUAUGCUAAAACUUAAAUUAAAAUAGCGAGAAUAAAUUCUAAAAUUGGUAUUGAAAUGGCAAGAAUAAAUUGAAGAGAAUUAUAUUGAAAUGACGUACUUGGGUAUCUGGAUCCGUAUCAACAUGCAUCAUGGGCUAAAUAAUCCGUAUUAAUGCCAAUUAAAUCAUGAGGGGGGAAUCUACACCUCAUGAACCACGCUCUAAUCAAUAUGGUGCUAAGGGCUUAUCGUGCCAAAUAAUAAUAACCUUAUACUAGAGAGCCGGUGUAAUCAAGGCGGUAUCUAGACAAGACUAUUAUUAUUUGUCGACGAAAAGUCAAAUCAUCCACAAAAAUUAGAGGGGAAAAGAAAAUAAAUUUACCAAAUAAAGCCCAUGACACAUGUUGAGACUUCACCUUCAACCCAAGCUUGAAAGAAAAUUAGCCACUCAUAAUUGAACUAGGGGCAAAAUGGGAAUUUAUUAAAAUACGAAGAAAAUACAAGAUGGAGAAGGAAUUACAGAAAAUAGAUCUCAAAAAUGGAUUCAGAGAUAUCAAAUUGGGGGGGGAGGCCCCCUUUUUAUAGAUACAUAGAGUAAAUCAUGGCCAUCGGAUUAAAAAUAGUUUGGACGCUCAGGAUUUCGCCACGUCAUCAGUCAACAGUACGCGGUUUGACCACGCGGAUGAACAGUAACACGGUUUGACUCGGAUGAACAGUAACACGGUUUGACUCGGAUGAACAGUAACGCGGUUUGGUUGAAAAUAAUCCAGUGUGAUGCAUGUACCGUACGCGAGAUUUUUCGUCCACUGAUAUGCUGCCACGUCACCAUCAACAGUACAUAAGAAUUUUAGCCCAACAGGAUCGUGACACCUCAUCAGUCAAUGUCACAUCAUCGGUCAAUGCCACGUCAUCGAUCCGUCUAUGUGAACAGUAAUGUGAACAGUACCGUACACGUGAAUAGUACCGUACAUAUGAAUAGUGCUAUUUUUCCUUUUAUGCUCCUCCUAAGGUUUUCGACCGUCCUAAGUUCAAAAGUGAUGUCUGUUUUGCCGUCUGAUCUCUCCUUUAUUGUGAAAUGACUAUAAUGCCCCUAAAAUACAUAAAAUACUUAAUUAAAAUAAAACACAUGUAAUUAAAUCACAAGAAGGUUAAAUACAUAAAAGUAAGGGUUGUUAGUAAGACUUGAAAUGUAAAAUGACGGUUUUCUCCUUUAUAAAUAUGCUUAUGCAUUGAGUGUUGUAAGUCAGUUUAUGUAUAAUCCCGGAGAACAACACAUGAAAGCAGUAAUGCGGAUCCUGAGGUACCUGAAGUCAAAUCCUGGAAAAGGAAUCCUAUUUUCCAAAAAUGGAGAUUACAACAACAUAGAAGUUUAUACUGAUGCAGAUUGGGCCGGGUCAACUAGUGAUAGACGCUCUACCUCAGGAUACUUUACCUUUGUGGGAGGCAACCUUGUCACAUGGAGAAGCAAGAAACAACAUGUCGUUGCCGUUCGAGCGCUGAAGCAGAAUAUCGAGGCAUGACCCUUGGGUUAUGUGAAGGGCUAUGGAUAAGCUUUAUCUUAAAUGAUUUGGGCUAUCCAUCGGAACAACCAAUACAACUAUACUGUGACAACAAAGCUGCACGAGAUAUUGCUCAUAACCUAGUUCAACACGAUCGAACAAAACAUGUCAAGGUAGAUAGAUUUUUCAUCAAGGAGAAAUUAGAUGAAAAAAAUCUUAGAACUGCCGAAAAUUCGAUCAAAAGAUCAACUUGCAGAUAUUUUAACGAAGGCCAUUUCAAGCAGAACAUUUACAAAAUUCCUAGACAAGCUGGGUAUGCAAAACAUCUAUGCAUCAACUUGAGGGGGAGUGUUGAGAAUGUCAAAUAAAACGGCAUUGAAGGAAGUUUUCAAAGGCAGAAUCCGUACUUGUCAAAGGGAUGAUCUGCACUUGUCAAAGACACGAUCCGCGCCGAACGAAUCGACACAUUUCCUUCCGUAUUCACAUAUGUAAUUUUUGAAAAAAUGUAGCUUCUGCAUCUAUAAAUAACGCUCAGUGUAUAAUGUUUUAUUCAAGAAAAGAAAACAAGUUUCUUCAUACUCCUCGUCCGAACAUACAUAGACAGUCUCUCAUAACUUCAGCCGAAUACUUAUGAUGAUGAUCAUUUGUGAUUUCAUCAGGCAUAGGCAAGAACUUGACCCUGUCUACUACCAACCAAAUGCCGAAAUUCGCCUGCCACCCCAAUGAUUCCUAAUCCUAUUUUAAUACCAGGUUUGAUCACAAGAUAAGAAUCAGAUUUAAACACUUUUCCAAGUGUUGUUUCCCAAAGAGAAGUCACACACAUUUUCUUUUCUACCAGGAACUGUUGUACUAUCAGGAAUCUGUAAUCAUCUAUUGAUUGAGCAUAGCAAAAUGCAAAUUUCCGGUCUUGGUAUUCUCUUAACUCUGUAGUGGAAAGAUUGUAUAUCUUAUAUAAAUAGUUAUUAUAAUUACGCCCCGAGUCUCUCUUUAAUCCUCAAGCACAAUAAGCCAUUACAAGAAUCCAAUAUCAAAACCGAUUCAUAAAGCUACCCAUUGCUUUAAUUUGCAAGUUAAAGAAAAAAUCACUUCAGGUUUCGGGGAUACUGUACGUAAAAUCGAGGAAGGUAACUGAAAAACAAUUGUAUAUAUGUCAAGCAAACUGCAGGAUUUGUGAUUAUAUGUGUAAAAUAGAUAAGACUGAUAAUAUAGCAAUCGCAUAUACAUGCCAAUCCUAGUGGAGUAAAAGCUCUAAUGCCACUAGAAUUCUGAUUAUUAAAUUUCGGGAGAACUCUGAUCACUGAUGCCACUGAAAAAUUCUAUUUAUAUAUUUUUUAUUAUUAUAUGUAAUACAUAGAAUAAAUGUUCAACGAAAGUCCAAUAUACAACUGAAACCCACUAAAGUCCAGGAUGAGAAAACAAAAGAAAUACUUCCACAUAUUGGGAGAUUUGAAUCUUCCAUUUUUCUCGAUAUUAGAAUUAAGAGGAGGAGGUGCAGAUGAACCGAAACAAAGGGUUGAUGGUGAAAAAUUUUGUAUGUGUGAAGAAUUGAGCUGUGGAUAUAGGGGACUUAAGUGUAAUCGAAAGAGAGUUAUUAGGCCAUAGUGCAGAUUGCAUUCAGUUUAUGGGUCGAUAUGCAAAUAAUUUGUUGAUGUGGCGAAAUCUAUUAUGGUUGUUAGUAUUGUUUCUAGAAAUUUUCAAGAAACCUCAACAUAAAAGGGGCUUUUGCAUAGCCUCUGGUGUGCGUGUGAUUUCUCUUUCGUUUCCUCAUCAAAUUCUGUAAUUCUUGCUUUGAUAAAAAGCUUUUAAUCUCUUAUGUAGUGUGUGAUCAGUGCGUAAUCAUUUUGAGCGAUAAAAGCUUGUGAGUUUUUCCUUCAAACAGUGUCGUUUUGGUCAGUUUGUUAGUUUGAUCUGUUCGUGGAAUUUUUCUUUGGUUAUUUGUUCUCAAAUUUCAACCGUAAAUAAAGUUUGAACUCUAAUGGCUUAUAAUGUAUUGAUUAAGAAUAAUCCUAAGAGUUCCUGAUUGAAAUUUUUAAUGACUAUUUUUAUUGUUUUGGAUAUACAAAUUGCAUUAAGAAAAAAUAUUGUCAAAUUCAGAGGAUAACGGGAAAUAAUUAUGCUUCAAAAGGCCAGAGAUUAGAGAAUAAAGAAGCAUUCAUUACUGAUAUACAAAAGAGAAACACUCCAAAAUUGCAAGCAAACUAGUUUCAUAUACUAUUUGGAUUUUGGAAGGGGUGAAGUUUUGAGCUUCAGUUGUUCCUCUAAAAUCAAAAGCAGCAAUUAAGCGCUCUCAAUUAGAAAGAGCAAAGAAGACUUAUUGGUACCUUACUGAAGCUAACAUUAUGGCACGGUUGUUCAUAUGUAAUGGCUGCUCUGUUAUGCUAGCUUCUCUGUUUUUGCUUCUAUUUUUGCUUACAGUUUUGAACAUAAAUUCUUGCUCAAAUAACCCAUAAUUAAAUAACACUAAUAUGGCUCAUGAAAUCCUAUAAUAGCUAAUUACGCAACUUUCUCCUCCUCCUCAGUUAUGUCUUCCCCUGCUCGUACACUAAAUUCAAAAUUCAAUGCCCCGAAAAACAACACAAGAAAUCUUUGAGUUAAUUCGUGACCAGUUUAUAUAUAGUAGCAAUUGAAAAAGAAAAAGAAUAAAAGAGUUAAUUAUUAUUCAGACCUUCACUUAUUAGGAAGUUUAUUAAAGUACUUUUCUUUAUAGAUGUUAGUGAUGAAGUAAUUGUGUCAAGUGAGCUUUUCACAGCAUUUUCUCCUUUAAUCAUGGAAGAACUGAAGGACUCAUUUACGCCAGCUAAAAAAUCAUCAAAACUGCUUUUGAUAUUGGAUAUUGAACUGUUAUCCAUAUCCAGAGAAUCAAAUGUUGUGGUGGGAUUCUCAGGUGUUAAUUCAAUAGCUAAUGUGGUUUUGGGUUCCACAGGUGCCAUCAACGUGUCUGCAUUUUCAGUCAUUCGGUCUGCAAAAUCCACAAGUCCUUCUUCCACAGCAGGUACACUAGAAUCUUCUAUAUAUUUCAGCUCCCCACUUCCCAUAGGGUUCAUCUCAUUUGCCGCUUCAACAGAAUAACUCCAUGCAUUAGAUGGUUUGCAACUAAUGUCGUCUAAUUCAUUUGGACAGGAAUUAAUGA